UGGGGAAUUUUGGACAAUGGGGGAAACCCUGAUCCAGCCAUCCCGCGUGUGCGAUGAAGGCCUUCGGGUUGUAAAGCACUUUUGGCAGGAAAGAAACGUCAUGGGUUAAUACCCCGUGAAACUGACGGUACCUGCAGAAUAAGCACCGGCUAACUACGUGCCAGCAGCCGCGGUAAUACGUAGGGUGCAAGCGUUAAUCGGAAUUACUGGGCGUAAAGCGUGCGCAGGCGGUUCGGAAAGAAAGAUGUGAAAUCCCAGAGCUCAACUUUGGAACUGCAUUUUUAACUACCGGGUUAGAGUGUGUCAGAGGGAGGUGGAAUUCCGCGUGUGGCAGUGAAAUGCGUAGAUAUGCGGAGGAACACCGAUGGCGAAGGCAGCCUCCUGGGAUAACACUGACGCUCAUGCACGAAAGCGUGGGGAGCAAACAGG
This 429-nucleotide ribosomal RNA is filed under the name Acidobacteriota bacterium. RNAcentral describes it as "Acidobacteria bacterium partial 16S ribosomal RNA". It matches the Rfam family "Bacterial small subunit ribosomal RNA", at positions 355 to 776 of the family's 1533-position model. Lineage: Bacteria; Pseudomonadati; Acidobacteriota. The record is from RNAcentral.